AUACGUAGGGGGCGAGCGUUGUCCGGAGUGACUGGGCGUAAAGAGCACGUAGGCGGUUUAAUAUGUCGGAUGUGAAAAUCCUGAGCUUAACUCAGGACCUGCAUCCGAAACUGUUAAACUUGAGUACAGGAGAGGAAAGCGGAAUUCCUAGGGUAGCGGUGAAAUGCGUAGAUAUUAGGAGGAACACCAGGGGCGAAGGCGGCUUUCUGGACUGGAUCUGACGCUGAGGUGCGAGAGCUAGGGGAGCGAACAGGAUUAGAUACCCUGGUAGUCCUAGCCGUAAACGAUGAAUACUAGGUGUCGGGAGUUUAGAUACUUUCGGUGCUGCAGCAAACGCAAUAAGUAUUCCGCCUGGGGAGUAUGGUCGCAAGACUAAAACUCAAAUGAAUUGACGGGG
RNAcentral lists this ribosomal RNA (397 nucleotides) under uncultured bacterium. RNAcentral's name for it is "partial 16S ribosomal RNA". It matches the Rfam family "Bacterial small subunit ribosomal RNA", at positions 523 to 918 of the family's 1533-position model. The record is from RNAcentral.